GUUCAGAGAAUAAAGAGAUGAAUUUAAUAAUGCCACUGGACACUUAUACUCUAUCGGAUCCUAAUAAUUUCUCACACUAAUGAAUUCUUCUAUCAACUUCAUGUUAAUCAAGAGGAGACAGAGCCAAGAAGUGAGUAAUUGCUUACUGAAUUGUGAAAGCUGGGAUGAUUUAACUACAGCCUCCCUAGAAUGUGACAGUCCACAGAAAUAUCUGAUUUCAAAGAGAUGCUUGCAUUCUGUACUGAUGCCAUCUAGAAUUGUAAAUGACCAGUGUCACACUGCUAAGUGGAGAAAGCGUGAAAGAAGAAUCCCAUCAGUACAUUCACGAUAGAGGAAAUAAGAAACAAUGAAAGCCACAAGUUUACUCGAAGGCAGCAAAAUUGGCCCUACUCCCAACCCUGCAACAUGCACCAUUUCCAUAAACAAUCUACAGAGAUGGCUGAGAAAAAGAAAAAGGGGUACUCUCCUUUACCCCUUCUCCAAAGCCCGAUGAAGUAAAGAGUAGAAAUCAAGAGUGUCUACAAGAAUUGGGGAUUGGCAUUGAUUCUCCACUGUGUGAUUACUCAUGCUUUAUGGCAAUGUGCCUAUUUAAAGGGCAGGUAAUGACUUAGCAAGAAGGAAGGAGAGAGAAUGUCAAACUCACCUGAAGUCUUACCAAUUGGUGUGGCAGCUUCCAGGGUUCCAUUGAUCUUGUGGCGUGGGAGGACUGUUUCGGUGUAAGUCUAUUACCAGGAGCUAUAUGACAACAUUAAUUAAGUUGUGUUUUGGGAAAAUGAAAGCAAGCAAGAUGCACAUUUGCCUUUCUGCCAAUAAACACUUAAGUACAGCAAUGUGCAGGAAUUCCUGGCACAUUAAUCAACUUGAUCUUUUUCCUUCUUCUUUUGUUGUAUCUUUCCUUUCUUUUUGACUUUCUUCCUUCCUUUCUUCUUUAAUUUUUAGUGAUAGUUUGUACUUUUAUAAUACAAUUGAUAGAAGGAAGAGCUAUUCAACAUGAAUGCCCUACAAUCUCACAUUUACAGAGGAGUUUAAGGAAGAAUACAUGCAAUAAAAUUGGGCUUCAGGAGCCACUGGGGCCUAUGAACAGCUAUCCUUAAUAAUUUGUCUUUGUUCUACAUAUGUGGUAUUUUGUUUGUGUUUUGUUGGGAGGAAAAAAGCUGUUCUUCACAUACACCACUGUUAUUAUAUGAAAGAUUAUUUAGAGCCACUAUUCUGAGAAGGUGAUCUCUCAUUCCAUGAUUGGCUGUCUGUCUUCUAUUCUCACCCUUAUUCCAAAUGAGCUUUAACUUCAUUUUAUAAGUUGCCUUUCUUCAGUAACAUCUCUCACAAUGAUUUUUUUUAAUCAGUAAGUUCACAGGAUUUUAGGAAACUGUAUCUGUGCAAUAGGUACAAAGAGUUAGGUCUAAACUCUUUUCAUGUGCUGGCUAAGUCCUCAGCAACCUCUCCAAUCUUUUGUCCAGCCCUUCCUCCACACCAAACUGUUUAUAGGCUGUGCUGUUUCCCUGUGAUAUUCGUUUUGAUUUAUUGUUCUCUUCACCACCUUCCAUCCCCAACUUUUUUAAGGAUUCUCACUUAUUUUCAAGAUCCAUCACAGGUAUUUCCCUUUCUCAGCCAUCUUAGCCUCUCUCAAGUGAACUAAAGUUUCCUUUUAUAUUUUUGCCAUUAUAUUUUGUUAAUGUCAGCAUCACAGGACCUGUCACAUUUUAUUUUUUCAAUUAUUUAUGUAUGGCCUCUGGUUGCACUGUAAGUUCCAUGAAUAUAGGAGCUGUUUCCUGUUCAUUCAUUUUUUACAGUAGUGUUUAUUAUGCUUUUUAUGGCUCUUACCAAAGAAUACAUAUAACAAAUUAUCUUCCUAUAUUUCCUUUCACCUCCCCUUCCCAGAACUAUCAAAGUGAAUAACAGAUAUGUGUUGUCACAUGAUUAUCAAGAAAUAUUUAGGCAGUGCCUACUGUGUGUCAGGGUAAAUACUGCUUUUGGUGAUAUUCAUACAGCAGUUAACAAAACAGAAUCUCUGUCCUCUAAAAACCUCCAAUUUAGUGGGAUAAUUAUGCUAUGCUUGAGGAUAUUUCAUUAUUAAAUCGAGUAAAAAACAGUUUUUGCAAUAUCAAGUGUACUCAAUAUUAAAAUUCUGAAUAACAGCAUAACUAGUGGAGCAUAAUUUGAAGAGAAUACGAAAUAAUUCCACAUUGAUAAAUCUAAUGUCACAAAUAAAAUGUUUUAAUCACCAAAACCAAUUGAGUUAUCUUUUUUUGUUUUAUAUUAAUUUGUUCCAAAUAAUGUUAUGCUUUGUUUACUUCUUAUUGGGAUUAUGGCUUUCUAGUAUAGCAGUUUAUUUUUCCUGGAAUUGUUAAUUGUCUUUGAUUUUGCUUUGUUUCUUAAUUGUUGAUAUAACAAAAACAAUUAUCUCCAACAUAUCACUCAGUUGACUUACUGCUCAUUGAUAGUAAUUGUUAAAAUAACAAUUUGAGACAAACUUCUUCCGCUUCAAGAAG
Homo sapiens (human) is the source of this 2489-nucleotide long non-coding RNA. Ensembl annotates it as long intergenic non-protein coding RNA 2822. NCBI's taxonomy places the organism in Eukaryota, Metazoa, Chordata, Mammalia, Primates, Hominidae. The record is from Ensembl.